UACGGGGGGGGCAAGCGGUGUUCGGAAUUACUGGGCGUAAAGGGCUCGUAGGUGGCCAACUAAGUCAGACGUGAAAUCCCUCGGCUUAACCGGGGAACUGCGUCUGAUACUGGAUGGCUUGAGUUUGGGAGAGGGAUGCGGAAUUCCAGGUGUAGCGGUGAAAUGCGUAGAUAUCUGGAGGAACACCGGUGGCGAAGGCGGCAUCCUGGACCGGUAUUGACGCUGAGGCGCGAAAGCUAGGGGAGCAAACGGG
RNAcentral lists this ribosomal RNA (253 nucleotides) under uncultured bacterium. Its description in RNAcentral is "partial 16S ribosomal RNA". It matches the Rfam family "Bacterial small subunit ribosomal RNA", at positions 524 to 776 of the family's 1533-position model. The record is from RNAcentral.